RNAcentral lists this transfer RNA (55 nucleotides) under Hammerschmidtiella sp. ZengetLiu-2016. Its description in RNAcentral is "tRNA-Phe". The record is from RNAcentral. Lineage: Eukaryota; Metazoa; Nematoda; Chromadorea; Rhabditida; Thelastomatidae.
AUCUUUAUAGUUUAAUAUAAAAUAUGGUUUUGAAGCGACUAAGAAAGUGAGGGUA